CACACACAACUGUUCCAGACACUUUCUUACAUGUAACUGACAUGUUUCUGUUGAAUAUUUACUUCACAGAAAUGUUUUACAGUCUUCGAAAAAGUCCGCUAGCAUCUGUUUUCAGACGAGGAGUGAUAAUAUAAUCUUUCUACAAAGGAAGAGAAGCUCCAAGAUUUCAAAAUUGCUGAAGGGAGCUGCUGACAGAAAUGCAGGAAACACAGAUUAUGAUGGCCGUGCAGCAGAGGAGCGCAGAGUCUCCUGUCGGACAACAUCUCUAUGUCGCUAUGAACCAUGUGACUAGAUCCUAUGUACCCAGCCUCAACCAUUCAUCAGAAGGACUGUGAAAGCGGGAACUCUUUGAACCACCAGUGGCAGUUUCCACGGGAUGAAAAAGGGCAUAGUAGUGGAUGAUGAGGUCCUGAGACCAUAUGGGGUGAGGAUCAAGACAACCAAACCAAAGGUGGACUGUAACCUGCUGGACUAUAUGAUAGACUUCAUACUGACCACUACUGCCAUGUAAGCAGCAUGAAAAGUUUUUGAAAAGAGGGGUAUUUCCUUCACCAAGUAAAAGUGUGGAGGAUUCAUCUGGCCUUCAUCGGCCCCCAUGAGGUGACUCGGUGUAGAAUAAAUCAGCUUGCUUUAGGCUUGAAAUGACUAGAAUCUUCUAAUGUGAGUUGAUAUCAUUUUAAACAUUCUUAAAAGUACUUCUCAUUUCUUGUGAAUGUAUUUUGUAGUAUGUGUAAAACCUUUCCAAUGAAAGAACCUUUUUUACCUUCAUUGAUAUUGUAAUCAAGGUUGUUAAUGCUAUGGACUGCACACAUCUGCUUGUGUUGGGCUUGUGUUCACAGGUUGUAUAAAACUAGGCCUGGCUGCAACAACUAAUCGAUAAUGAAAAUAAUCGUCAACGAAUUUGAAUAGUGCAUCAAAACAAACAGGCCGCUCAUAAUUCUGACUAAAAUACACAUUUUGCUCAAAUAUUUUUUUGUUAGAAAUUAGUGUAGGUUUAAAACCCUACAUGUAACACAAGUAAUCAUAUUUAUGAGAGCAGUAACAGUACAGGCACUAUUGUUGAAAUUGUCCAUUAAUAUAAUAUAAUAUAAUUACUCUGUUCAGACGAAUGAUUGUGUUUGUUCCUCGUACCUCUUACAAGUUAACAUUGUGUUUUUUUGUUUAAAUUGUUUUAAAUUCUGUUUCAAUAUAACAAGCAAUCUGUUGUUUUUAGGUUUAGAAUGUAAUGUUUGUAUUUUAACACUUUAAUGCUUAUAAUGAACAGCAGAGCCUACAUAGAUACAUUCAUUAUAUUUGUUUUCAUAGGCAGGAUGUGAAAUGACAUUCUUUAAAAUAAUGGAUUAAAAUUAUUUUAAUUAAAAAAUUAUGUAUAUAUUUUAUUUAUUUAUUUAUUUGUCAUCCAAUUACUAGUAUUAAUAAAAAAAAAUCUACAAAUAAAUUGGUUAUCAAAAAAAAUUGUUAGCCCUACAUAAGAUAUUGUUAAAGAGGUCGGCGGUAUAAUGUUGUGUGUGAACACGAAGUCAUGUUUAUUUGUACAACAUGUAAUUCAUUUCUAUAGAGAUAAUGCAUUAUUACAGUGAAACAAUUUGCUAUUUUUAUUUUGUAAAUUAGCAGAAAACCAUCUCUACCACUGCAGUGCUUUAUCACUAUUUUUUAA
Onychostoma macrolepis is the source of this 1657-nucleotide long non-coding RNA. RefSeq lists it as uncharacterized. The record is from RefSeq and is a predicted model, not a curated record. Lineage: Eukaryota; Metazoa; Chordata; Actinopteri; Cypriniformes; Cyprinidae. The transcript has 5 exons.